AUUAUGGCUCAGGAUGAACGCUAGCGGCAGGCUUAACACAUGCAAGUCGAGGGUAGUUGGUUUUCGGACCAAGAGACCGGCGCACGGGUGCGUAACGCGUAUGCAAUCUACCUUUGCAGAGGGAUAGCCCAGAGAAAUUUGGAUUAAUACCUCAUAGUAUAGUACUUUGGCAUCAAGGAACUAUUAAAGUCACAACGGCAAAAGAUGAGUAUGCGUCCCAUUAGCUAGAUGGUAAGGUAACGGCUUACCAUGGCUACGAUGGGUAGGGGUCCUGAGAGGGAGAUCCCCCACACUGGUACUGAGACACGGACCAGACUCCUACGGGAGGCAGCAGUGAGGAAUAUUGGACAAUGGGCGCAAGCCUGAUCCAGCCAUGCCGCGUGCAGGAUGACGGUCCUAUGGAUUGUAAACUGCUUUUAUACAGGAAGAAACACUCCGACGUGUCGGAGCUUGACGGUACUGUAAGAAUAAGGAUCGGCUAACUCCGUG
This 489-nucleotide ribosomal RNA is filed under the name uncultured bacterium. RNAcentral's name for it is "bacterial SSU rRNA". It matches the Rfam family "Bacterial small subunit ribosomal RNA", at positions 16 to 507 of the family's 1533-position model. The record is from RNAcentral.